CCUACGGGGGGCAGCAGUGAGGAAUAUUGGUCAAUGGGCGUAAGCCUGAACCAGCCAAGUCGCGUGAGGGAUGAAGGUUCUAUGGAUCGUAAACCUCUUUUAUAAGGGAAUAAAGUGUGGGACGUGUCCUGUUUUGUAUGUACCUUAUGAAUAAGGAUCGGCUAACUCCGUGCCAGCAGCCGCGGUAAUACGGAGGAUCCGAGCGUUAUCCGGAUUUAUUGGGUUUAAAGGGUGCGUAGGCGGACUUAUAAGUCAGCGGUGAAAGUCUGUGGCUCAACCAUAGAAUUGCCGUUGAAACUGGGAGGCUUGAGUAUGUUAGAGGCAGGCGGAAUGCGUGGUGUAGCGGGGAAAUGCUUAGAUAUCAGGAAGAACCCCGAUUGCGAAGGCAGCCUGCCAGGCCAUGACUGACGCUGAUGCGCGAAAGCGUGGGGAUCAAACAGGAUUAGAUACCCUGGUAGUC
RNAcentral lists this ribosomal RNA (460 nucleotides) under uncultured bacterium. RNAcentral's name for it is "partial 16S ribosomal RNA". It matches the Rfam family "Bacterial small subunit ribosomal RNA", at positions 338 to 795 of the family's 1533-position model. The record is from RNAcentral.